Molecule: ribosomal RNA, 690 nt
Filed under: uncultured heterokont
Lineage: Eukaryota
Description: bacterial SSU rRNA
Rfam family: Eukaryotic small subunit ribosomal RNA
Source: RNAcentral
UAAUUCUAGGGAGGUAGUGACUAGAAAUAACGAUUCGAGAUGCUUUGCAUUUUGAAAUUGGAAUGAGAACAAUUUAAAUCCCUUAUCGAGGAUCAAUUGGAGGGCAAGUCUGGUGCCAGCAGCCGCGGUAAUUCCAGCUCCAAUAGCGUAUAUUAAAGUUGUUGCAGUUAAAAAGCUCGUAGUUGGAUUGGUGUUGGUUAUGUUUAUUUGGGAAAUUCUCAAAGCGACGUUAACCAAUAUAUUUGGGAUUUGGUCUAGAAUGGCAUUCAGUUGUUGAUUUAGUUCCAGCCCAUCGUUUACUGUGAAAAAAUUAGAGUGUUUAAAGCAGGUUUUGUAACCGUUGAAUACAUUAGCAUGGAAUAAUAAUAUAUGACUCGUAUGGUCUAUUUUGUUGGUUUGCACGUAUGAGUAAUGAUUAAUAGGGACAGUUGGGGGUAUUCAUAUUUGAGCGUCAGAGGUGAAAUUCUUGGAUUUACGAAAGACAAACUACUGCGAAAGCAUUUACCAAGGAUGUUUUCAUUAAUCAAGAACGAAAGUUAGGGGAUCGAAGAUGAUUAGAUACCAUCGUAGUCUUAACCAUAAACUAUGCCGACUCAGGAUCCGCGAUUGUUUUUUGACGUCGUGGGCACUGUAUGAGAAAUCAAAGUCUUUGGGUUCCGGGGGGAGUAUGGUCGCAAGGCUGAAAUCCAU